AUACAUAGGGGGCAAGCGUUAUCCGGAAUUAUUGGGCGUAAAGCGUGCGUAGGCGGUUUAUUAAGUCUGAUGUUAAAUCCCACAGCUCAACUGUGGGCUGCCAUUGGAAACUGGUAGACUUGAGUGCGGUAGAGGUAAGUGGAAUUCCAAGUGGAGCGGUGGAAUGCGUAGAUAUUUGGAGGAACACCAGUGGCGAAGGCGGCUUACUGGGCCGUUACUGACGCUGAGGCACGAAAGCGUGGGGAGCAAACAGGAUUAGAUACCCUAGUAGUCCACGCUGUAAACGAUGACAACUAAAUAUUGCCGCGAGGCAGUGUUGAAGCUAACGCAUUAAGUUGUCCGCCUGGGGAGUACGGUCGCAAGCCUGAAACUUAAAGGAAUUGACGGGG
RNAcentral lists this ribosomal RNA (389 nucleotides) under uncultured bacterium. Its description in RNAcentral is "partial 16S ribosomal RNA". It matches the Rfam family "Bacterial small subunit ribosomal RNA", at positions 523 to 918 of the family's 1533-position model. The record is from RNAcentral.